Long non-coding RNA from Mustela lutreola (European mink), 803 nucleotides. RefSeq lists it as uncharacterized. The record is from RefSeq and is a predicted model, not a curated record. Lineage: Eukaryota; Metazoa; Chordata; Mammalia; Carnivora; Mustelidae. The transcript has 3 exons.
GUGCAUGCCAAACCCUAGAAACAGACCUUGUGAUGGACAACAAAGGCCACCAAUGAAUUCCAAAGCACCUAAAGCCAGAGUAAGCCUUGUAGGAACAGGGACCUUGUCUAUCUCCUCUUCACCUGCGUCCCCAGUACCUGGACUGGCAUAAAGUUGAUAGUUAAGAAACGACUGUUGGAUCAAAUAUAGAUUCUUGGCCUCCUCUUCAGGGCUACCUGCCACGGCAGCUACUCGUUUCGAGACUCUCGCACCCUCUCGACAGGCUGAGCUGUGGCCAGCCAUUCAGCUGCUUGCUGGCUCUCCUGCCUGUGUGUAUGACAGCCUCUGACUCAACUGCUUCACCAUUAACUCAUUCCUUCCUGAAGAUGACCCAGAAUGAUUAAACUAAAAUGUUGAUUCUUUCCUGGAACAUGUCACCAACUCCUUCCUGUCUGCCUUAAGAGCAGGUAGACUGUUGUUGUCCAUUUUCUAUCCUUGGAAUAGUCUUUGGUAUUAAAAAUGAACUACCACUGAGAUCUACUUGAACUAUCAAUUCCUACCUGCUUCAACCCUGCCCCCAACACUCCGCCAGCAAGUACCGAAGUCAGCAGAUUUAACCUUUGCUGGUACCCAAGUGAUGGGGUUGUCUGAGCAACCAUUUUUCCAUUUCUGGGUUCUUAACCCUUUGAGAGCAGUCAAUGGUGGCCAGAAGAGAAUCAAAACCCCUGAUCAGAUUUAUUGUUUCAAGAGCUGGACUGGAGAAUAUUGCAAGACUUCUCUCCUCCCUCCCUAUCCCCCUAAGCAGCCUAUAGCUAACUGGCAAA